Molecule: ribosomal RNA, 600 nt
Filed under: uncultured bacterium
Lineage: Bacteria
Description: bacterial SSU rRNA
Rfam family: Bacterial small subunit ribosomal RNA
Source: RNAcentral
UCCCUGAUGUUAGCGGCGGACGGGUGAGUAACACGUGGGUAACCUGCCUGUAAGACUGGGAUAACUCCGGGAAACCGGGGCUAAUACCGGAUGGUUGUCUGAACCGCAUGGUUCAGACAUAAAAGGUGGCUUCGGCUACCACUUACAGAUGGACCCGCGGCGCAUUAGCUAGUUGGUGAGGUAACGGCUCACCAAGGCGACGAUGCGUAGCCGACCUGAGAGGGUGAUCGGCCACACUGGGACUGAGACACGGCCCAGACUCCUACGGGAGGCAGCAGUAGGGAAUCUUCCGCAAUGGACGAAAGUCUGACGGAGCAACGCCGCGAGAGUGAUGAAGGUUUUCGGAUCGUAAAGCUCUGUUGUUAGGGAAGAACAAGUGCCGUUCAAAUAGGGCGGCACCUUGACGGUACCUAACCAGAAAGCCACGGCUAACUACGUGCCAGCAGCCGCGGUAAUACGUAGGUGGCAAGCGUUGUCCGGAAUUAUUGGGCGUAAAGGGCUCGCAGGCGGUUUCUUAAGUCUGAUGUGAAAGCCCCCGGCUCAACCGGGGAGGGUCAUUGGAAACUGGGGAACUUGAGUGCAGAAGAGGAGAGUGGAAUU